Molecule: ribosomal RNA, 465 nt
Filed under: uncultured bacterium
Lineage: Bacteria
Description: partial 16S ribosomal RNA
Rfam family: Bacterial small subunit ribosomal RNA
Source: RNAcentral
GACGAACGCUGGCGGCGUGCUUAACACAUGCAAGUCGAACGGAAAGGCCCUGCUUGCAGGGUACUCGAGUGGCGAACGGGUGAGUAACACGUGGGUGAUCUGCCCUGCACUUCGGGAUAAGCCUGGGAAACUGGGUCUAAUACCGGAUAGGAGCCAUUUUUAGUGUGAUGGUUGGAAAGUUUUUUCGGUGUAGGAUGAGCUCGCGGCCUAUCAGCUUGUUGGUGGGGUAAUGGCCUACCAAGGCGGCGACGGGUAGCCGGCCUGAGAGGGUGGACGGCCACUUUGGGGCUGAGAUACGGCCCAGACUCCUACGGGAGGCAGCAGUGGAGAAUAUUGCACAAUGGGCGCGAGCCUGAUGCAGCGACGCCGCGUGGGGGAUGACGGCCUUCGGGUUGUAAACUCCUUUCGCUAGGGACGAAGCUUUUUGUGACGGUACCUAGAUAAGAAGCACCGGCUAACUACGUG